CCAGCGGCCCGUGCGGCUGUUCCGGCCAGGGCUAGGAAGGCCGCGUCUGCGCAGUCGGCCUUGGCGCUCUGCACUUUCUCCCUGGAGGAGUGCCGAGUCACUCUCUGGCCCGCGAACUGUGGGACGCGCUGGGCUCGAGAAACAAAGGAAACCCACGCACACGUGUUUGCAGUAUAGCGAACGUGAAAACAGCGGGUGAGACUUAGGGGUCCAGCAGGCCAGGCCUCCAGGGCUGUCAUGAGGAAUGGCAGGCAAGCCGCAGGCCCAGGGAUCCAGGCCAGGGCCAGCUAAGGCGGUCUAAUGGUCAAAUUCUAUAAACAGCCCCUUUAGGGAUAUAUAGAAUUUGCCACGUAUACUCACAAACCCUAAGUUGUUAGUUCUCCUAAGUUGUUAGUUCUUAGGAGAAAAUUAAGUAAUCUUGGAGUUCAGCAAAAGAAAAGCAUGAAUCCACUCACCAUUAGUAUUUUUUGUUACAAUCAAGUGCUAUAUGGGACGUAAGCAUUUAAGGCGGUAAAGUUGCAGAAACAAAUGUUUAAAUAAAUUAAUAUGUGGUUUUAAAUCCUGUUUCUGUUAGGUUGGCAAGGCUCACCUAAACUCUGCAAUGUGGUAUUUCUCAUUCACUCUAUCUACUCUUUAGCAGCAGCAGGAUCAAAGGCAAACAUACAUGCUGACAUACUAUGGAUUAAAUUACUUUCACACUUUAAAUAUUAGGAUUUGUGUUAAUACUUAGUAAACUUACCUAAAAGAGACAAUCAUACAAACUGAUUUUUGGACAAUUCAUCAGUGGAUGUUCCAAUUUUUCACCUUACUUCCUUUCCUACUGAUAAUUUUAAUAGGAAUAGGCCUUAGUAAAUGUUUUUCAACUUUAUUUCAAAGUUUUAAAAACCAUAACCACUGAGUACUUGGUUAAAUGCUAUGUUUACUGCAAGUUCACUUUCCCUUCCUGAUGUUACUUACUCUCCUUGUCCUCUAACCUGUUUUUCUUUCUUAGUCCUCCAAAUGGCACCAAUAUGUAUUACUUUUUUCAUCUUUGGGAGUAGGGUGGGGGUAGGAAGUGGAUUAGGAGGUUAAGGGAUUUUCAGAUGCUUCUAGCAGAGAUUUCAUUGUAGUGGACAGGGAACAUCAUGGUCAAGUAAGUGACAAUGUUACAUGUUGUGGUACAGCCAAGAAGAUGGCCAUCUGAAGGGUAAGCACAGAUCUGAACACAAGCUGCAGUGGGAAACCAAACACAGAAUCAUGGGUAACUGAUGAAAGAGCAGUCUGGGCUGAACUGGGAAAACACUCAGAAAGAGAUGAGGGUAGAACCUAGGGGAGCCCCAGUGAGUGGCAACAGAGGGUGGCUUCCUCCUCCCCCCGACAGAUGCAAAAGCCACUAGGCUAUAAAUUUCACAACUGCUUCUCCUCCUUGUCAAGGGAGAAAUACUUGGGGAAACAUGGGCCCUGGAGUAACAGUAUAUGGGAUUAAAUUUAACUUUUUUCAAGUACUGGCUUUGUGUUCCUAAGCCUGUUUCUUAGCAUGAGUCCCUCUUGUCUGCAUUUGGAUAAUGACAGCUACCUCAUGGCUACUAGGUGAAUUACAGGAGCUUAACUGAGUGUUAUCUGUGAAUGUGACCAAGUCAGGCCCCCAAAUUUAAUUUCUAAAUCCAUCCUGGCGUAGUCCUCUUCCAUUGCCUUGUUGAGAUCAUUCUCUCUACUAUAUACAUACAAGAAUUGAAACUCCACUUCUCAUGGUGCUUUAUAUGCUAUCCUUGGCAAACAUGGAUUUCAAUUUGUUGAUCCACUUAAACAAUGCCAGAAUAUCAAAGGACAUGAGUUUAGGUUAAAAGGCCAGGGGAGCCUGUUCCUAAUCUGCCAAGUGGCUUCAUUCCCCUAAACUCAUUAAUGGAUGGUAAUCACCCUCUCUGGUGACUUGUAUGAUAAGGUAACAGAAUUUUUUUUCACCCCUUUAUCAGGCCUCUUCACUUUCUCUAUAAUGCUGCCCUUUGAAAGCUUCCAAGGCUUCACUGAUCCCCGGUGGUAGAAUGUAUAUAGUGCCAGACUGAACUGCAAUGUUUCCAUUUCAUACAGAGCCAUAUAUGUACACAUAUAUUCCCCAUGAGUGCCAUGAAGUAGGACCUUUGCAUAGGUAAGUAUAGUGCCCUACAGAUGACUACCUACUCAACCCUGUGAAAAUGAGGGCGGUCUGGGAAGCAGCCAUUCUUACACCCAGCAAUGCAUUGGUAAUCACAUUGGUAAACCAGGGCACAGGUAGGCUGAGGCCAAAAGAUGACCUCUCAGACAUUAGAGAAGCCACUCACCAGAAGCUAUGUUUUAGUAUCCAUAGAAAGUAAAGUUUUCUUUAUUACAAUAAGAGAAGGUUACAAAUUGCUUUUGCACAGUUUUCCCUUGUAUCAAACUCCGUUUCCAUCUGGGGACAGUUGAGGUUCUAAACAUUUGGGCCACAGCAGAAAGCCAGAGCUGUGUUUGCUCCCCACUUGUAAAUGCACUAAAAGGCCAUACUCUGAUGUGAGAUUCUCUCAACUCACCAAUUGUUCUUUAGGAAGAACAAAAGAGCCACCCCAGCUUCAGAUGUCCAUGUUUGUGGUAUUUCAACAACUACUACACAUGCCCAACAUAGCAGUGUCCAACUUGCUUCUAGACAAUUUCCUAAAAUUUGAUACCACUCAAGUGAGUACUUACUGGGCUCUGCUGAGGAACAAAGGAGGAGGUGAGCACAUAUUAUUCAAAACUAACUUGCUGCUGUUGUUAAAGAAAUUGCAACCAAAACAAAAUAGCAAAAAUAUUAUUUUCCCCUAAAUUGAUACUUACUGACUGGAGUAUUGCUAUUUGAAUAGUCAAAGAAGUACCAAUCAAUUCCCCAUUCUGUUAGUUUCAAGGCUUUCCGUAAUCAAGGGAGAUGGCUUUAAAUGAUCCAGAGUCAUUGCAGCAUCACCACUAGCAUAUUCAUGGGGCAGAGAAGUUACCAACUAGAUCAACCAGAGGAAAAGAGGUCCACAACUAGGGGCAACUCAAUUAAGGCAGGGUGCUGAGUAUUUCACAUAAAAUUGUUUAGAGCAAUGUUGUCUGACAGAAAUAUAACACAAUCGAAUAGGUGUCACACCAUAUUCUAGUAACCACAUCAAGAAAAUAAAAGAAAAAAUACUCAUUUCAGAAAUACAGACGCUAAAAUUGGAGCUCUAUAGAUGUGCUCAGCCCAAUUCAAAGAUACCAAGAAAAUUGGUGAUGUGUUCCAUAUUUAAAAACAAACAAGAGGAAUUAAUUUUAGCAGUAUUUCUUAUUUGGCCCACUAUACUCAAAAUGUUAUUUUAACAUGUGUUCAUUUAAAACUUACUGAACUGCAUUAAUCUUUCCUUAUGUAGUGCUUUCGUGAUCCAGUGUGGAUUUGUACUUGGUGCAUCUCAGAUUGGACUAGCAACAGUCAAAUGUCCAAUAGCCACACAGGAGAAGUCUAAUAUCUGAAAACAAAAUAUCCACUUGUUUGGAGUUGGGUACUGGAAGUUUAAAUUCAUACUUAAAAAUUCUUUUUCAAAAAACAGAAACAUCAAGAUACAUAAGGAUACCAGUCAUUCUCAUUAAUAUGGAAAUCAAGCACAAAGUAUCAAUGGGAGAUGUGUAAGGACUGAGACUGAUGUCUAAAGGCCAGGCGUUGGUGGCACACGCCUUUAAUCCCAGCACUUGGGAGGCAGAGGCAGGAGGAUCUCUGUGAGUUCGAGGCCAGCCUGGUUCAGACUGAUGUCUAGUAACAUAAAAAGAGCAACCAAUUACAGUGUGAUGGCAUUGUAGGCCAGACUGGCUCUAGUACCUAACUUACUUUUGUAUCUUUUAACAGAGUGAAACAGCAAUCUUUCCCAACCCAAACAGAAAAAGUUUCCAUUUGUGUCAAUAGAAACAAGUUUUUCUGUCUUGAGCCACAGCCUGCUACAGCUCUGCCAGUCAGUCUAUGGAUGCUCUGUGAUAGCAUUCUGGUGAAAUGGUUGGUGAAGAUGGGGCUCACUUCAGAGCUGAAUCUGUCUGAGGGCAGGAUCUACAGAGGUCUGCCAUUGAAUUCCCUUUGUGCUGACAUCUAAUUUGGCUACGGUGCAAUCCGUUCUAGUCAGUCCAGGAAAAAAAAAAAAAAAGUCCAUGAGACUGUGCAAGACUGAAGCUACAGAGCAGCCAGCCCAGCUUUUGUGUGGUACUUUAACUAUAGAGAUCAAGCUCACUACGCCAAAGACACACUAACAUUCGUGGCCCAUAACAGAUCCUGUGUUCAGUGAUAGCUAACCUGGUCAAUUUCUUUUGACUACCAAAUGAAGUGAAAUGUAAAGUAGUAAUAGUAAUCUAGAAUUUCUAAAGUAUCACCAUAUUCAGCUAAAGCCCUAACUUCAGGAUGCCUGAGGCCAAGCACUGAAUUCUUUUCUUACUCUGCCCAAUGAACACUAAGGAAAUCCACUUCAGACAACAGUGGAGAAAGGUGGCUGGCCCGUGGAAUCAGUCACCUUGGGAGGUGAGAGAAUGCUUGAGAUGCACAGACUGUGUCUAUGUUGCUUGGUUCAUGACGACACAGGCUCUGAGGAGCACAGCUUACACUGCUGGGCACAUUCACUGCAGCUCUGUUCACAAGCCUCAACGGUACCCUGAAACCAGAGACUGUGUCUGACCUCAGGUCAUCCACAGUGAUUUGAGGAACCAGAACUCACUCUCCCCACCCCAGACCAUCCCUGUUCUGUGUUGUUGUUCUAAUAUUGUCUUCCAUUUGCAGUUGGCUGGAACACACUGUUGACAGCCAAAGCCAGGUGUGUAGCAGUCGCUUGUCCUUACAGGAAGCCCUUUAUCAGCCUCCGGAAAAAUGCAGCCCUAAUCCCUGUCCUAUGCUUCUAAUCCACAUGCCUAAAUCCCAUUUCUGCUGAGAUGGAGCUCUCAGAACUGACUCCAUCAGUAUUCCCACACUGCUGUCUGCAGCAAAUGCUCCAACAGGCCCAAUUCCUUCUGGGAGUCAAGACAAUUCCUCCAGCCAAAGGCUGGGCCUCCAUAUCCCAUCUAGUGCAAAAGGCCACUUUCCUGGGGGCCUUCCUCCGUCCCUGUUCCACUGCCACCUGCUUCCUAGAACUCACUGAAUGAAGAAUCACCUGAAGUCCUGGCUCACCCUCAGCGUUUUCUUCUUUAACAAACUAUUUCACCCUACUCAAGAUGUUAGUAGAGGAACUCUUACUUUAAAGACUGCCAACAAAAAGUGCUGAGUGUGAAUGGCGACACAUUGGAGUGGGUUAACAGUUGCUUGGUUCUCCACUGCUGCUGUCCUGUUUCUCAGGCCUAGACAUCCCUGGUGUGCAGCGGCACUGAGUAUGAACUGACUUCCCGGCUCACAGUUGAGUGUGACUGAGUAACUGACUUUACAGCUCACAGGCUUCUGUGACACUCAUGACAUGCAACAGAAGAUGCAAUACUAGCAGAGAGAUCAGAAAGGGAAAGCUAGAACCCCCAAACCCUCCUUGGAGCACUGACCACUGAAUAUCACAUUCUUCUAUCAAGAGGCUGAGCUGAGCACGAGCUGCGUGGGCUGCCUGUGUAGGUGUGCAGUGGGCUGAGGGUACCUAGUCUCUGUGCCUUGCCUUUUGUGCACACAGCAAGGGCAAGGACCACACAGGCAAGCUGUCCAACCAGAUUGUUAGCCAAGUAUGCUGACUAACACCAUCAUCAAUUCAAUGGUCUAUGUGAUGUAAAGUGCAUCAUCUCAGGAUAACUUCAGGGGACUGUGUGGUCUGAUUCAGACAAAGUUUCAUGCCUGAUAGGCUAACACACGAGAUAUAUUAAAGGCACAUGCAGGACUCUUCCAGAGAUGUCAGGGAAUCCCCACUUAAGUCCUACACCUGGGAGCACUACCCUCUUCAGGAAUCUCCAUGUAAAUCCUACACCUGGGAGCACUGCCCUCUGCAGGAAUCUCCAUGUAAGUCCUACACCUGGGAGCACUGCCCUUUGCUAUCCCUGGCUCGGAAUAACAUUUUCAACCCCCACUUUGGGUUCCUAAACAGCCUCCUGGUCUCUAUCUCCUCCCAGGUCACUGGAUACUGUUAGAAUUUCUUAUAGCUAACGUCCCUGGACCACUCCAUCACCUAACCACACAUCUGUCUCUACCUCUGGUUUGUAGGAGAAAAAGCACUGUUUCUUCAGUAUUUUCAGUUUCUCUCUAAUGAGAGGCCUCCCGAAGCUAAUAAUAAUUACUAAUAUCUGAAGACAGGAUGUUCUGCCCUGUGCCCUGUAUCAUGACCAAGAAUACCUCCAAGAACAACUCUUCCAGAAGAUCCUGAAACCAUUAAGGCGCCUAAGGACCCAGUCAAACACCUACAAUCAAUAGCCCUAAUCUGAGAGCAAUCUGUAAUAAUAAUUAAACAAUUUUUAAAAACAUAAAAUAAUAUUUUGGGGUAUUUUCUCUUCAUUUGAAAGUAAAAGCAGAAAAUUUGGGAA
Non-coding RNA from Cricetulus griseus (Chinese hamster), 6444 nucleotides. Lineage: Eukaryota; Metazoa; Chordata; Mammalia; Rodentia; Cricetidae. The record is from RefSeq and is a predicted model, not a curated record.